AUUAAACUGAAGAGUUUGAUCAUGGCUCAGAUUGAACGCUGGCGGUAUGCUUAACACAUGCAAGUCGAACGGUAACAGCAGGAGCUUGCUCCUGGCUGACGAGUGGCGGACGGGUGAGUAACGCGUGG
Molecule: ribosomal RNA, 128 nt
Filed under: Gammaproteobacteria bacterium
Lineage: Bacteria; Pseudomonadati; Pseudomonadota; Gammaproteobacteria
Description: partial 16S ribosomal RNA
Rfam family: Bacterial small subunit ribosomal RNA
Source: RNAcentral